AUUGAACGCUGGCGGCAUGCCUUACACAUGCAAGUCGAACGGCAGCACGGGAGCAAUCCUGGUGGCGAGUGGCGAACGGGUGAGUAAUAUAUCGGAACGUGCCCAGUCGUGGGGAUAACGUAGCGAAAGCUACGCUAAUACCGCAUACGAUCUACGGAUGAAAUCGGGGGAUCGCAAGACCUCGCGCGAUUGGAGCGGCCGAUAUCAGAUUAGGUAGUUGGUGAGGUAAAGGCUCACCAAGCCGACGAUCUGUAGCUGGUCUGAGAGGACGACCAGCCACACUGGGACUGAGACACGGCCCAGACUCCUACGGGAGGCAGCAGUGGGGAAUUUUGGACAAUGGGCGCAAGCCUGAUCCAGCAAUGCCGCGUGCAGGAUGAAGGCC
This 385-nucleotide ribosomal RNA is filed under the name uncultured bacterium. Its description in RNAcentral is "bacterial SSU rRNA". It matches the Rfam family "Bacterial small subunit ribosomal RNA", at positions 30 to 416 of the family's 1533-position model. The record is from RNAcentral.